UACGUAGGGUGCGAGCGUUGUCCGGAAUUAUUGGGCGUAAAGGGCUCGUAGGCGGUCUGUUGCGUCGGGAGUGAAAACUCAGGGCUUAACCCUGAGCCUGCUUCCGAUACGGGCAGACUAGAGGUAUGCAGGGGAGAACGGAAUUCCUGGUGUAGCGGUGAAAUGCGCAGAUAUCAGGAGGAACACCGGUGGCGAAGGCGGUUCUCUGGGCAUUACCUGACGCUGAGGAGCGAAAGCUAGGGGAGCGAACAGG
This 253-nucleotide ribosomal RNA is filed under the name uncultured bacterium. RNAcentral's name for it is "partial 16S ribosomal RNA". It matches the Rfam family "Bacterial small subunit ribosomal RNA", at positions 524 to 776 of the family's 1533-position model. The record is from RNAcentral.